AUUGAACGCUGGCGGCAGGCCUAACACAUGCAAGUCGAGCGGAUGAAGGGAGCUUGCUCCUGGAUUCAGCGGCGGACGGGUGAGUAAUGCCUAGGAAUCUGCCUGGUAGUGGGGGAUAACGUCCGGAAACGGGCGCUAAUACCGCAUACGUCCUGCGGGAGAAAGUGGGGGAUCUUCGGACCUCACGCUCUCAGAUGAGCCUAGGUCGGAUUAGCUAGUUGGUGGGGUAAAGGCCUACCAAGGCGACGAUCCGUAACUGGUCUGAGAGGAUGAUCAGUCACACUGGAGCGGAGACACGGUCCAGACUCCUACGGGAGGCAGCAGUGGGGAAUAUUGGACAAUGGGCGGAAGCCUGAUCCAGCCAUGCCGCGUGUGUGAAGAAGGUCUUCGGAUUGUAAAGCACUUUAAGUUGGGAGGAAGGGCAGUAAGUUAAUACCUUGCUGUUUUGACGGUACCAACAGAAUAAGCACCGGCUAACUUCGUG
This 484-nucleotide ribosomal RNA is filed under the name uncultured bacterium. Its description in RNAcentral is "partial 16S ribosomal RNA". It matches the Rfam family "Bacterial small subunit ribosomal RNA", at positions 30 to 507 of the family's 1533-position model. The record is from RNAcentral.